AACGUAGGUGGCAAGCGUUGUCCGGAUUUACUGGGUGUAAAGGGAGCGCAGGCGGACAUGCAAGUCAAAUGUGAAAUGCAGAGGCUCAACCUCUGAACUGCGUUUGAUACUGUAGGUCUUGAGUGGAGUAGGGGCAGGCGGAAUUCCCGGUGUAGCGGUGGAAUGCGUAGAUAUCGGGAGGAAUACCAGUAGCGAAGGCGGCCUGCUGGGCUCUAACUGACGCUGAGGCUCGAAAGCGUGGGGAGCAAAC
Molecule: ribosomal RNA, 250 nt
Filed under: uncultured prokaryote
Description: partial 16S ribosomal RNA
Rfam family: Bacterial small subunit ribosomal RNA
Source: RNAcentral